Molecule: ribosomal RNA, 307 nt
Filed under: uncultured eukaryote
Lineage: Eukaryota
Description: partial 18S ribosomal RNA
Rfam family: Eukaryotic small subunit ribosomal RNA
Source: RNAcentral
CCCUUAGACGUUCUGGGCCGCGCGCGCGCUACACUGACAAAGGCAACGAGCUACUCUUCACCGAAAGGUGUGGGUAAUCUUUUGAAACUUUGUCGUGCUGGGGAUAGAUCCUUGCAAUUUUUGAUCUUAAACGAGGAAUUCCUAGUAAGCGCAAGUCAUCAACUUGCGUUGAUUACGUCCCUGCCCUUUGUACACACCGCCCGUCGCUACUACCGAUUGAAUGGUUUAGUGAGGCCUUCGGAUCCGCGACUCGUUUGUGGAGAAGUUGGACAAACUCAGUCAUUUAGAGGAAGUAAAAGUCGUAACA